UACGUAGGUGGCAAGCGUUGUCCGGAAUUACUGGGCGUAAAGCGUGCGCAGGCGGUUUUGUAAGCCAGAUGUGAAAGCCCCGGGCUUAACCUGGGAAUGGCAUUUGGGACUGCAAGGCUGGAGUGUGGCAGAGGAGACUGGAAUUCCUGGUGUAGCGGUGAAAUGCGCAGAUAUCAGGAGGAACACCGGUGGCGAAGGCGGGUCUCUGGGCCGAUACUGACGCUGAGGAGCGAAAGCGUGGGGAGCGAACAGG
This 253-nucleotide ribosomal RNA is filed under the name uncultured bacterium. RNAcentral's name for it is "partial 16S ribosomal RNA". It matches the Rfam family "Bacterial small subunit ribosomal RNA", at positions 524 to 776 of the family's 1533-position model. The record is from RNAcentral.